This 119-nucleotide ribosomal RNA is filed under the name Pteropus alecto (black flying fox). The record is from RNAcentral. Lineage: Eukaryota; Metazoa; Chordata; Mammalia; Chiroptera; Pteropodidae.
GUCUACAGCCAUGCUACCCUGAACAAACCCGAUCUUGUCUGAUCUCAGAAGCUAAGCAGGAUUGGGCCUGGUUAGUACUUCGAUGGGAGACCACCUAGGAAGACCAGGUGCUGUAGGCG